UACGUAGGAUGCUAGCGUUGUCCGGAUUUACUGGGCGUAAAGAGCUCGUAGGCGGUUUGUCGCGUCUGCUGUGAAAACCUAAGGCUCAACCUUGGGCUUGCAGUGGGUACGGGCAGACUAGAGUGCGGUAGGGGUGACUGGAAUUCCUGGUGUAGCGGUGGAAUGCGCAGAUAUCAGGAGGAACACCGGUGGCGAAGGCGGGUCUCUGGGCCGUAACUGACGCUGAGGAGCGAAAGCGUGGGGAGCGAACAGG
RNAcentral lists this ribosomal RNA (253 nucleotides) under uncultured bacterium. RNAcentral's name for it is "partial 16S ribosomal RNA". It matches the Rfam family "Bacterial small subunit ribosomal RNA", at positions 524 to 776 of the family's 1533-position model. The record is from RNAcentral.